CCUACGGGAGGCAGCAGUAGGGAAUUUUGCGCAAUGGGCGAAAGCCUGACGCAGCAACGCCGCGUGAUCGAGACGCCCUUCGGGGUGUAAAGAUCUGUCAGGGGGGACGAAACUGGACGGUACCCACAGAGGAAGCACCGGCUAACUCCGUGCCAGCAGCCGCGGUAAUACGGGGGGUGCAAGCGUUGUCCGGAAUCAUUGGGCGUAAAGGGUUCGUAGGCGGCACGUAAAGUCUGGUGUGAAAGGGAGAGGCUCAACUUCUGUACGGCACUGGAUACUGGGGAGCUGUAAUGCGGUAGAGGUAAGGGGAAUUCCUGUUGUAGCGGUGAAAUGCAUAGAUAUCAGGAGGAACAUCGAGGGCGAAGGCACUUUACCGGGCCGUAAUUGACGCUGAGGAACGAAAGCCAGGGUAGCAAAUGGGAGUAGAUACCCCAGUAGUC
RNAcentral lists this ribosomal RNA (440 nucleotides) under uncultured bacterium. RNAcentral describes it as "partial 16S ribosomal RNA". It matches the Rfam family "Bacterial small subunit ribosomal RNA", at positions 338 to 795 of the family's 1533-position model. The record is from RNAcentral.